This 436-nucleotide ribosomal RNA is filed under the name Klebsiella pneumoniae subsp. pneumoniae KPNIH22. RNAcentral describes it as "bacterial LSU rRNA". It matches the Rfam family "Bacterial large subunit ribosomal RNA", at positions 2497 to 2925 of the family's 2925-position model. The record is from RNAcentral. Lineage: Bacteria; Pseudomonadati; Pseudomonadota; Gammaproteobacteria; Enterobacterales; Enterobacteriaceae.
AGUUCAUAUCGACGGCGGUGUUUGGCACCUCGAUGUCGGCUCAUCACAUCCUGGGGCUGAAGUAGGUCCCAAGGGUAUGGCUGUUCGCCAUUUAAAGUGGUACGCGAGCUGGGUUUAGAACGUCGUGAGACAGUUCGGUCCCUAUCUGCCGUGGGCGCUGGAGAAUUGAGGGGGGCUGCUCCUAGUACGAGAGGACCGGAGUGGACGCAUCACUGGUGUUCGGGUUGUCAUGCCAAUGGCACUGCCCGGUAGCUAAAUGCGGAAGAGAUAAGUGCUGAAAGCAUCUAAGCACGAAACUUGCCCCGAGAUGAGUUCUCCCUGAGACUAUAAGUCUCCUGAAGGAACGUUGAAGACGACGACGUUGAUAGGCCGGGUGUGUAAGCGCAGCGAUGCGUUGAGCUAACCGGUACUAAUGAACCGUGAGGCUUAACCUUAC